CAAGUACGUCCACUCCACCGCUUGCGGUACUUCGGUGACCGCAAGAGGAAAGUCCGGGCAACGCAGGGCGCCACGCCGGCUAACGGCCGGGGUUCUUCCAACGGGAAGGAUACGGAAAGUGCCACAGAAAGCUAUACCGCCCCGGCCUGGCCGUGGGUAAGGGUGAAAACGUGCGGUAAGAGCGCACGCCGUUUCGUAGUAAUACGAUUCGGGGGUAAACCCCGUGGGUUGAAAUACCAAACAGUAUUGCCUUCCGCCUUCGGGCGGAACGCGGGCGGCCCGCUCGCCACUCCAGCAAUACGGGUAGGUAGAUCGAGCCGAUCGGUAACGGUCGGCCUGGAUAAAUGGUGGAGCUCCCGACUCCGUCGGGACGACAGAACCCGGCUUACCGGAACGCACUUGUUUU
Molecule: RNase P RNA, 406 nt
Filed under: Lewinella sp. W8
Lineage: Bacteria; Pseudomonadati; Bacteroidota; Saprospiria; Saprospirales; Lewinellaceae
Description: Bacterial RNase P class A
Rfam family: Bacterial RNase P class A
About the family: Ribonuclease P (RNase P) is a ubiquitous endoribonuclease, found in archaea, bacteria and eukarya as well as chloroplasts and mitochondria.
Source: Rfam by way of RNAcentral